UGAAGCUUGACGACACAUCUUCUGAGCAGCCUAAAGUUAUGGAGGGUACAACACCACCCAUACCAUCCAGGGAUGCUGAAGAUCACUUGGGCGAGAACGUGUCACCGCAACAUCCUACAAACACAGAUGUUUCAGUUAUUAAGAGAGCUAAACUUUUUGCUGCCGAUGGCAAACUAAGUCUGAUUGCUGGUAUUCCUUUAAAUGUGGGCUC
This is a long non-coding RNA of Lolium perenne, 211 nucleotides long. RefSeq lists it as uncharacterized. NCBI's taxonomy places the organism in Eukaryota, Viridiplantae, Streptophyta, Magnoliopsida, Poales, Poaceae. The record is from RefSeq and is a predicted model, not a curated record.